RNAcentral lists this signal recognition particle RNA (99 nucleotides) under Clostridiales bacterium. RNAcentral's name for it is "signal recognition particle sRNA small type". It matches the Rfam family "Bacterial small signal recognition particle RNA". Rfam says of the family: The signal recognition particle (SRP) is a universally conserved ribonucleoprotein involved in the co-translational targeting of proteins to membranes. Lineage: Bacteria; Bacillati; Bacillota; Clostridia; Eubacteriales. The record is from RNAcentral.
UGUCCGGUCCUGCGCAACGGCAGCCUGCGAACCAUGUCAGGCGGGGAACCGAGCAGCAUUAAGCAGUGUCUGCUGUGUGCCGCAGACCGCCGGGCAGAA